GAUGAACGCUGGCGGCGUGCCUAAUACAUGCAAGUCGAGCGAACAGACGAGGAGCUUGCUCCUCUGACGUUAGCGGCGGACGGGUGAGUAACACGUGGAUAACCUACCUAUAAGACUGGGAUAACUUCGGGAAACCGGAGCUAAUACCGGAUAAUAUAUUGAACCGCAUGGUUCAAUAGUGAAAGACGGUUUUGCUGUCACUUAUAGAUGGAUCCGCGCCGCAUUAGCUAGUUGGUAAGGUAACGGCUUACCAAGGCAACGAUGCGUAGCCGACCUGAGAGGGUGAGCGGCCACACUGGAACUGAGACACGGGCCAGACGCCUACGGGAGCCAGCAGGAGGGAAUCUUCCGCAAUGGGCGAAAGCCUGACGGAGCAACGCCGCGUGAGUGAUGAAGUUCUUCGGAUCGUAAAACUCUGUUAUGAGGGAAGAACAAAUGGGUAAGGAACUAUGCACGUCUCGACGCUACCUAAUCAGAAAGACACGGCUAAGUAAGAG
Molecule: ribosomal RNA, 497 nt
Filed under: uncultured bacterium
Lineage: Bacteria
Description: partial 16S ribosomal RNA
Rfam family: Bacterial small subunit ribosomal RNA
Source: RNAcentral